GGGUUGAUGAAGAGAACUUCCAUGAUCCAGAAGGGAGAAGAUGACCUAAAAAUCAUGCUCAAUAGGGUUAUGUUGAGGCUU
Hippopotamus amphibius kiboko is the source of this 81-nucleotide small nucleolar RNA. RefSeq annotates it as small nucleolar RNA SNORD115. The transcript has a single exon. The record is from RefSeq and is a predicted model, not a curated record. Lineage: Eukaryota; Metazoa; Chordata; Mammalia; Artiodactyla; Hippopotamidae.